UCGGAAGUGGCUUGACUGCGGGAAAUACAAAAUAUGUUUACGGUGAAAGAUACUGGACAAAAACGAGAGGAAGAGCCUGAGGGUGGAAUACAGGUCAUACCUUGGCCGGGUCGGAGAUGAGGAUCGAUCUUCAAUAACAUGAGAAAAAUCCAAGUCCAAGACAGAGUUGGCGGUAAUCGGCACCACCUCGGCCGCGCACCUGUUGCCAAUCAGCACUCUACACUGCCUGCAUUUAAGCCUGCCAGAUCCAAGACUCCACUGCCAGAGUAUUAACAUUCAACUGUGUGCUCCUUCCGUGUUCCCCACUUUGCUGACCUCUUCCACCAUGCCGCCAAGCCAUCCACCCGCUCACGCCACUGCAUGCUCCCUGUCUUGAAAACCCGCCAGUUCGCCUCAAGGAUCCAUCUCUGACUCCCUUCACAAUAAACAUUUCUCCACAAACUUC
Long non-coding RNA from Phyllopteryx taeniolatus (common seadragon), 445 nucleotides. RefSeq lists it as uncharacterized. NCBI's taxonomy places the organism in Eukaryota, Metazoa, Chordata, Actinopteri, Syngnathiformes, Syngnathidae. The record is from RefSeq and is a predicted model, not a curated record. The transcript is spliced from 3 exons.